AAAAUUUCUUAUUCAUCGUAGGCUAAGGUGUAAUGGAAACUAUGGCAAUUUAUUUAAUGCAGUGUGCUUACAAGCGUUAAUACAACCUCAAAAUUUGUUUUCGUUCCAAAAAAUCAAUUCGUUUCCCAAAAUAAUUUGAAAUUCAAAAAUGCCAAGGCUGUGGAGCACCUAAUGCAAGCUGGAGUUAAAACCAUAUUUUGUAAUCAAAUCAUUGUUUUUUAAACUUUUGGUGCCUCUGCUGCUUUCUAGGCAGUCUCCAUAGUAACAGAGAAACAAAACCGGAAGCCAGCAGUUGAAAUGGACUCCUGCUGCUGAUAGUGGUUCCGCUUCCAUGGAAACAACAAUGGAGUGAUGGAAUACUGGAAGGCUUUUUAAAUGUAACCUUAAAUAUACAUACUAUGCUUCCUUCCUUACCAGCCCCUUAAAACUAGGUCACAAGCACUGCUGCUCAACAGCGGCAGCCAAGGAUGAAAAUCACCUCUUGCGCAUUUUUACUGCUGGACACUUACUGAGAGAAACAGUGCAUGUGUGCACGUAGAGGAGGAGCAGAGAGCGAGGGAGGGAGAGAAUCUUAAGCAGGCUCCACACUCAGCACAGAGCCCAAUGAUGCAGGACUCCAUCUCACGACUCUGAGAUCAUGACCUGAGCCGAGAUCAUGACCUGAGCCGAAAUCAAGAGGGAGACAGACGCUUAACUGAUUGAGCCACCCAGCAAAUGCUUUUAAAAAUGGAUACAUAUUUUACAUUCUACUUAAGGAUAAACCAGUACCUUCAAUAAGUUUCUCUACAUUUCUAUUAAUUUCAGAUACAGUAAGAAUUUCCACUGGGCUCUGGCAUCGAAAAGAGAAAACCUACUCCCCUUAUUUACUACCCUUUAUGUCAAAAAGUCCCACUGUGCCAAAAACAUGUGUUACGUAUACUGUGUCAACCUGGACUUCUUCACCUUAUCAAUUUCUGAUCAGGAGAGAGGAUGGGGAUAGGGUGAUUACAGAGCCUGAUCUGUGAAAGAAUCGGGUGUAGCUGAAUAGAAAUGAGGAGAAAGUCCAAAGUUGUUCUUGACAUUUUUAGAAACGCUGGACUGCCUGGCCUGCAUUUCUCAGAGCACCAACUCUGACUUGCUACUAAGUUUUAUAGAAGGCACAGUCUAUACAUAACGGAAUCACAAAAUUCUAAUUUAUUCAAGAAGCCAUCACUACGUGGCAUUCCUUUCAUUACAUCGAAUUCUAUUUACAAGAGAUAUGUUACCUUCCUGACACAGCUAAGAAAUUAAGGCUCAGGGAUGUGGAAUGUCUUUCUGAGUUAAAAAGUUAAUAUGAGAGACUAAAACUGAAACCAGGUCUUAUGAUACCACACUUCAGGUGACUGAAUUUGAAGUGGAUUGUGCUAUUGUUACUGAGUAGAACAAGAAAAAUACAGAGCACGGGACAAGUACCAGUGAGUAUGGGAACAAAGAGGAUGAGAAAAUAAGCAUGAGGAGUUGAGACAGGAGCCUAUCAGACAACACAGCAGAGGAGAAUCAGACAGAAAGAGACGGGAAAUGACAGACAAGGACACACGAAAAUUAGAGCUACAAAGAGGUAUAGCCUACCAUUUCUGACUUAUGCUAAGUGUUCUGACAACAAAAGGCAACCUUGAGAAAAACAGUAAUUUAUGGUUCUACAUGUCUACCACAACUGGGGCCAUCAGCCUUUCCACAUAUAAAAAAACCGGGUGAAAUCACACAAAAGGAAUAUGGAGGAACAUGGCGUAGAAGUGGCAUGAUUGGACUAAAAGGACAAUCUACUUUAAUUCUAUGAAAAAUUGUCAUGACAGCAUCAUUGAGAGAAACACAAGCACAGAUACUCUACAUAAUUUUAAACCACUAUGUAAAACAGAAUGAAGUCUAUGAACUUUUUAUUGUUUGACAAUUACAAUUUGGGAAAAUCUGUUUCUUAACAGUUUAUAAAAGUACAAAUGCCUGCAUAACCUGGUUAUUUUUCAAAUGAAACACACUUUGAGACCACUAAUGACAAAACAGUAAGCUCACGAGAAAAAGCAGAUUUACAUUUUCAAAACUUCCUAUAAGAGAAUAGAUAAACUGAACUUAUGUGUAAUUUACAUAAGACUCAAUAUUUAACUAUUACGAUUAACUAAGCUGUAAGUUCAAUAAAACUAUGUAACUCAAGUAAUCAUGAAUCACUGUUUCUCAAAGUGCCUAACUGCUAGUAC
Molecule: long non-coding RNA, 2207 nt
Organism: Acinonyx jubatus (cheetah)
Lineage: Eukaryota; Metazoa; Chordata; Mammalia; Carnivora; Felidae
Exons: 4
Source: RefSeq, a predicted model, not a curated record